GCCUCAGUAGCUUAGCCUGGUGGAGCGCAUGGCUGUUAACCAUGAGGUCGGAGGUUCAAAUCCUCCCUGGGGCG
Molecule: transfer RNA, 74 nt
Filed under: Candidatus Woesearchaeota archaeon
Lineage: Archaea; Nanobdellati; Candidatus Woesearchaeota
Description: tRNA-Asn
Rfam family: tRNA
About the family: Transfer RNA (tRNA) molecules are approximately 80 nucleotides in length.
Source: RNAcentral